UGCAAGUCGAACGGUGAUGUCAGAGCUUGCUCUGGCGGAUCAGUGGCGAACGGGUGAGUAACACGUGAGUAACCUGCCCCCGACUCUGGGAUAACWGCUAGAAAYGGUAGCUAAUACCGGAUAUGACGACWGGCCGCARGGUCUGGUCGUGGAAAGAAYUUCGGUYGGGGAUGGACUCGCGGCCUAUCAGGUUGUUGGUGAGGUAAUGGCUCACCAAGCCUACGACGGGUAGCCGGCCUGAGAGGGUGACCGGCCACACUGGGACUGAGACACGGCCCAGACUCCUACGGGAGGCAGCAGUGGGGAAUAUUGCACAAUGGGCGCAAGCCUGAUGCAGCAACGCCGCGUGAGGGAUGACGGCCUUCGGGUUGUAAACCUCUUUUAGUAGGGAAGAAGCGAAAGUGACGGUACCUGCAGAAAAAGCACCGGCUAACUACGUGCCAGCAGCCGCGGUAAUACGUAGGGUGCAAGCGUUGUCCGGAAUUAUUGGGCGUAAAGAGCUCGUAGGCGGUUUGUCGCGUCUGCUGUGAAAUCCCGAGGCUCAACCUCGGGUCUGCAGUGGGUACGGGCAGACUAGAGUGCGGUAGGGGAGAUUGGAAUUCCUGGUGUAGCGGUGGAAUGCGCAGAUAUCAGAGGAACACCGAUGGCGAAGGCAGAUCUCUGGGCCGUAACUGACGCUGAGGAGCGAAAGCAUGGGGAGCGAACAGGAUUAGAUACCCUGGUAGUCCAUGCCGUAAACGUUGGGAACUAGAUGUGGGGACCAUUCCACGGUCUCCGUGUCGCAGCUAACGCAUUAAGUUCCCCGCCUGGGGAGUACGGCC
Molecule: ribosomal RNA, 821 nt
Filed under: Clavibacter sp. NW-2013-S1
Lineage: Bacteria; Bacillati; Actinomycetota; Actinomycetes; Micrococcales; Microbacteriaceae
Description: bacterial SSU rRNA
Rfam family: Bacterial small subunit ribosomal RNA
Source: RNAcentral